This 253-nucleotide ribosomal RNA is filed under the name uncultured bacterium. Its description in RNAcentral is "partial 16S ribosomal RNA". It matches the Rfam family "Bacterial small subunit ribosomal RNA", at positions 524 to 776 of the family's 1533-position model. The record is from RNAcentral.
UACAGAGGUCCCAAGCGUUGUUCGGAUUCACUGGGCGUAAAGGGUGCGUAGGCGGUCGGGUAAGUCUGAUGUGAAAUCUCACAGCUUAACUGUGAAACUGCAUUGGAUACUAUCCGGCUCGAGGAGUGGAGGGGAGACUGGAAUACUUGGUGUAGCAGUGAAAUGCGCAGAUAUCAGGAGGAACACCGGUGGCGAAGGCGGGUCUCUGGGCAGUAACUGACGCUGAGGAGCGAAAGCGUGGGGAGCGAACAGG